Molecule: long non-coding RNA, 4423 nt
Filed under: Callithrix jacchus (white-tufted-ear marmoset)
Lineage: Eukaryota; Metazoa; Chordata; Mammalia; Primates; Cebidae
Description: lncRNA (ENSCJAG00000086054.1)
Source: RNAcentral
AUGGUGGCCUCAGCGGCAGGGACUCGGGCGCCACUUACCCGGCAGGUGCGGCCGGAGCCAGCGGGGACCCAGAGAGUCGGGCCUGAGCGGGGGCCUGAGCCGGAGCUGAGCGGCGCGGGCGUCCGGUGCCUCCCAGCGCCCGCCGCCUCCUCUGCCGCCGCGCGAAGCCCGCCGCGCCGCCCGCCCGCCGGCCCGAGGGAGGGGGCGCGCCGGCGGCUCCACCCUCCUCCGCCCGCCCCGCGCGCCCCUCCUUCCUCCUGCGUCUCUCGGGCCACCUGGCAGUGGGGCGGCAGCGCGGACGUGGGUCGGCUGCCGCGGAGACAGGCGCCCGGGGGUCGUGCGCGGGCUGCGGUCGGGGACUCCAGGGUCCAGCCGCGUUCCGGGACGAGUGAGGGCUCCGGGUACUCCAGCGAGGGGUCUCCUCCGAUCCAGCUUCCCCACUCCCAGCAGGCUGGAAAGGGGCUGGAGCUAGAGAUGAGGAGCCGAGGACUCCUCCCAAGGGCUGCGGGCGGUGUCAGUAGCGCCUGUAUCUGCCAGCACAGUCCCUGGCGCAGAGCGCACCUUCACUACCGGCUUCUUUGUCCUCCUUGGAACCCCUGGAUCAGCUCUCCACCAGGGCUUCUAGUUGGCCUCGCCCCCUUCAUCUAUCCCCUGGUGAAGGGAGCUCAGUGGGGACUCCUGCAAGAAGAGGGCUUGCAGCCCCCUUCCCCAUCCUCCCCAGCCUUGGCUGGACCUGGCACCACCGCUCAGGAAGUCCCUGGCCCAGCAGGGGACCCCACAAAACAUCAGCCCCUCUCCAGGCCUGCCGGCUCCAGCCCACAGGAUUGGCCUAAACAAUGGUAAGAGCCAAGGAGGGCCAUCUGAUAAAAAUCAUGACAAGGUAGGGACUCAGCUAACCUACCCAUCACCCCAUUCCAGUCCUCUGGGGCUGUGCAUCUGCCCAGCUCCUGGGCCCUGGCCCCGAGUGACAGCCUCUGCCCCUGUCUUGCCUGUCUCCUGUGUGUUCACCUCUCCAUCUCUAAGCCCCCACUCUGGAUACCCUGCCUCCAUCUCUGGCCACCCCAGGGUCAUCCUCUGCCCAAUGUAUCCUUCUCGGGUCCUAUUAAUUCUAAGGAGGAAAAAAUGGAAUUACUUAAAAUGUGGUGUUUCCAUGACGGGGGAGGGGAGGGCAGAGAGGUGGCAAAGUGGCUCUUUGUGCUUUUAAUCUGCAUUUUUCCCUCAACGUUCCUGUCUCCGGGAGGAUAAUUUUCCAGCCUUUUCAGGCCCUGAUUGGUAUCAUUUCUCCAGCAAUGACAGCUUUUAUUUUCCCCGAAAUGAAUGCCGUGAAAUUUCCAAGAAAUAUAAAAAUGGAUAUUGUCUCAGAGAGCCGACUCUUCCGACAGAAAGGCACAGAGGCAAAUAUGCUUCCCUAGGGACACUUCCGCUCCAGCCACAGGGGUCGGGUGGGGGCAGCCUCCAGGCACUCAGUCUCUCCUCCCUCCUUUCUCCCUCCCUCUUCCUUUCCUCCUCCCUCCCAGGUCAGCUCUGGGACCCCCUUCCAGCCACCCUCUCCCAGACUCAGCUGCUAUUGAUCUGCUCAUGGGCCUCAGGACUCCCAGCCAGGUGCCCUGCAGGCUCCACCUCACCUGCUGUGUUCACUUCUCAUCCCCCAGCCCUGCCCCAGAGAGCAGCAACCAGGGCCUACAGGAGUUGACUUGGAAUUGGGCUCUCUGACCCCUCAGUCCUGGUGGCCCUGCACAGACUACCAAUAAAGAGAGGUCGGAGGCCCACUUCCUUGACUUCAACACCUUCUCUGUAAGGGAAACUGACGCUGUAGGGGAGUAGGGCACCAGCGGUCUGGCCUGUUGCUUGCUCACUCUUUGCAGGGUGGGGGGGGGCUCUCUUCCUACCCCUAAUUGCCAAGGUGACCCCAUGACUCAUGAGCAAGAGAAUGACAGGCCACAGCAGUGCCCAACUAAACCCAGCCAAGCCCUGAGUGAGGCAGCUGAGUGCCCAGCUUAGGGGAGCAGUGGGGUGCCGCCACAGCUGACUUGGAGGGCAAAGGCCUGAGGGGAUGCCAGGGGCAGAGAUGGGUUCAGAGCCUGACCCUCUGUCUCCUCCCUGACCAAGGGCAGAUCCCAGCCACCCUGUAGAGUGGGGCAUCACUCGGUUUGGGUUCCGGGCAUGGAGCCCUCCUUGGGGACCGCAUGCUGUCACCAAUAGCUUGCAUCUGUUGCCCAUUCACCAAGUGGGUAGCUAAGUGCCUCGCUCUGAGGUGGGGCUGCCACCUAACGCCAGGCCUGGCCCUAUCUGGAGCCUGUUUGUGGUGGGACCCGCUUUUCUCCUCCAGCCUGCAUGUGGGUGGGGAUGAACCCCUUGUCCUGCCUCAGUGUGCCGCCUCAGGGCAUCAGCUCUGGGACCUGCCCCGCCAGCCUCCACCCUGUCCAACCAGGCCUCACACCUCUGCAGAUGUGUGGUGUCUUCUGAGCUGAGCCCUCAAAACACACCCCAGCCAGCUUCCUGUCCUCCACCCGGCCUCUCGGGGCUCAUCCCAUCUAUUAUUCAAGGCACAAAAUGGAUUUUUAAUUUGAGAAAUGAAAUGACUCUCCCAAGUGGCCGGGUGGCAGGGAGGGGGCAGAGGAAGGCCAGAGCCUCCGCAGCCGCCACGGUGCUGACUCAGGUUUGCCUUGGAAAUCUCAGGGCCACAGUUGAACUGAGAGAUCCCCAAAGCCCCAGGACCCCAGCACUCUGCCCCAGGCCUCCACUCCUCCCCGCUGCUGUGACCAGGUGGGGUGACAGGGUGCCCAUCAGUCCUGCCUGAGCCUCCAGUGAGGCCUGCCUCUGGCCGGGCAGUGGGGUCUCUGUCCCCCACUGACUUUCAGAUUCCUGUGCCUCAAGGCAGCCCUUGGGCUCCCAGGCCUGGCCUCUCACCUCCCCACACUCCCCAGCCUUCCUGGGCUGGCUUCCUCCACCGUGUCCAGACCUCCAGCUGAGCUCCUUUGCUAGGCCCUGACCCCGAACUAGGCCCACUCCACCCUGGACUGCUGCCCUGGCCUCCACUCUGUGGAGGGGUUCUCCACUCCAGAACCCCUCCUCACCCCUCACGGUGGAGCUCACACACCUUAGCGUGGCCCAUGAGGCAGGGCCUCCUCCCAGCUCUUCUCUUUGACCCUCUCUGCUUCCCCGCCCCCACACCUCCCUCUUUCCUCUGGUCACUCAGCUCUAUUUCCAUUUCCCAGAAAGUGACUGGCUAUCUCCAGCCUCAUCCCUCAGGCCUUAGCACUCGCUGUUCUGGCUGCCUGGAGCCCCCUUCCUCCCUCCCCUCCUCCAGCCAAUCGCCACCCAUCCUUGGGGCACCUGGGAGUGACCUCACCUCUCUGAUCAGAUGCUGACUCCACAGGCCCCUACUCCACUGGAUGCGUAGGUCUCUCCUACGGCAGCCCCUGUUCUUCACCUCCGUGUAACCCACAGCCCCUUCUGGAGGCUGUGGGACAGGGGAUGCAUGUAAUCAAGUCGAGUGACAACUGUGAUCAUUCAUGGAGAUGCCCUGCAUGAAGUAUCUCUGGACUCCAGGCCAUACACCAGGCACAGCACCCAGACAAACCUGCCCAGGCGCUUGGGUCCUGAACCCGCCAGACGACAAGAGGAGCCGUUUUCCAGUCUCCCGCAUGCCUCCCCUCCACUCUGAACCCCAUGGUUCACUUUGUCCCGCCAUGCACAGACUCCUCUCUGGGUUGCCUCCCAACCUCUAGAGUAACGCUGUUUUUAUACAGGAAACAUGUAAAUAUACUCUUGCAUUAAAAUAUUUAAGCCACACAAGUACAUAGAGGAUAUGCAUGAAAGCCCUCUGUCACGCACUGGCAGCCCGUGGUGUUGCCCAGCGAGAGUACAGUGCCGCAGCCAUACCUCACUGCAGCCUGGACCUCCUAGGCUCAAGUAAUCCUCCCACCUUAGCCUCCAAAGUAGCUGGGACCACAGGUGUUGCCACCAUGCCUGGCUAAUUUUUUUUUAUUGUGUAGAGACGUGAGUCUCACUAUGUUACCCAGGCUGGUCUUGAACUCCUGGCGAUCAAGUUGAGUGAUGACUGUGAUCACUUGAAGAGGCUGUCUUCCUCAGCCUCUCAAAGUGCUGGGAUUGGGCCUCUCAAAGUGUGGGCCACUGUGCCCAGCACUUAUUGAUUUAUUUUUAAUAAAUAGGACACAAUAGGAUGGAUACUUGAGUGACUCUCCUCUCCAUGUGGCCUGUGCUAGUGUUUCCCACCCAGAGGUCCUCAAGGUCACCCUCCUUGGCUGAGGGACACUUAGGUUGUCUUGCCCACCCCUGUCUGGUCUUCAAAUCCUAAGGCCUUGGCCUGGAGUCUUGCCUCGAACUCUCCCUCUCUGCCUGCCGCCCUGUCCCACCUUACCUGCCCCUGGCCCUCCUCCACCCCCUGGAUGCUGUGCCC